CUGCAGCCCGAGUAGUGAUCGUUAUUAUUGGGCCUAAAACGUCCGUAGCCUGUUUGGUAAAUGCUUGGGUAAAUCGUGUGGCUUAACCAUACGAAUACCGGGUAGACUGCCAGACUUGAGACCGGGAGAGGUUGGAGGUACUCCUGGGGUAGAGGUGAAAUUCUGUAAUCCUGGGGGGACCACCAGUGGCGAAGGCGUCCAACCAGAACGGGUCUGACGGUGAGGGACGAAGCCCUGGGGCGCAAACCGGAUUAGAUACCCGUGUAGUCC
RNAcentral lists this ribosomal RNA (270 nucleotides) under uncultured archaeon. RNAcentral's name for it is "partial 16S ribosomal RNA". It matches the Rfam family "Archaeal small subunit ribosomal RNA", at positions 477 to 747 of the family's 1478-position model. The record is from RNAcentral.